Long non-coding RNA from Sceloporus undulatus (fence lizard), 450 nucleotides. RefSeq lists it as uncharacterized. The transcript is spliced from 4 exons. Lineage: Eukaryota; Metazoa; Chordata; Lepidosauria; Squamata; Phrynosomatidae. The record is from RefSeq and is a predicted model, not a curated record.
GGUGCUAGUCAUCCCCAUCCUUCUCAGAAAAGAUCAGGCUCAAGGAAAUUGGACAAAUCUUGCCUGGCUGAGGACUACACUCACAUUGAAGAUUGACAGAGCUGUAACCUAGAUGACUCUUUGGACAUUGCGGACAUAAUUAAGGAAAGACCUCCGAGCUCAGGAUGGUCCAUGAGUGCAGUUCUAUUUGUGCUUAUUCAAGAGAAACUCCUAUUGAUUUCAGCAGGGAUUACUCUCAGGAGCAGAAUGACUUGGAUAGCCUUGGCUAUCCAAAUAGCAAGCAAGUUUACUUCAGAGGAUUGCACUUAUUCUUUUGCUGUCUUCUGAAAAACAAACUGGUGAACAGUGUCUUGCCAGGUGAGGAAAAUUGAUCAAAUCUAUACACAUUAGCUCAAGACCUCCUUGUAGAAAUCUAAGUUUCCUGAAAUUUCUGUUACAACCUGACACUUG